CCUACGGGAGGCAGCAGUCGAGAAUCAUUCACAAUGGGGGAAACCCUGAUGGUGCGACGCCGCGUGGGGGAAUGAAGGUCUUCGGAUUGUAAACCCCUUUCAUGUGGGAGCAAAUUAAAAAGAUAGUACCACAAGAGGAAGAGACGGCUAACUCCGUGCCAGCAGCCGCGGUAAUACAGAGGUCUCAAGCGUUGUCCGGAAGCACUGGGCGUAAGGCGUGCGGAGGCUGUUUCGUAAGUCGGGUGUGAAAGGCGCGGGCUCAACCCGCGGACGGCACAUGAUACUGCGAGACUAGAGUACAGGAGGGGGAGCCGGAAUUCGUGGUGUAGCAGUGAAAUGCGUAGAUAUCGGGAGGAACACUCGUGGCGAAGGCGGGUUCCUGGACAUUAACUGACGCUGAGGCACGAAGGCCAGGGGAGCGAAAGGGAUUAGAUACCCUAGUAGUC
RNAcentral lists this ribosomal RNA (446 nucleotides) under uncultured bacterium. RNAcentral's name for it is "partial 16S ribosomal RNA". It matches the Rfam family "Bacterial small subunit ribosomal RNA", at positions 338 to 795 of the family's 1533-position model. The record is from RNAcentral.